Molecule: ribosomal RNA, 292 nt
Filed under: uncultured bacterium
Lineage: Bacteria
Description: partial 16S ribosomal RNA
Rfam family: Bacterial small subunit ribosomal RNA
Source: RNAcentral
GUGCCAGCAGCCGCGGUAAUACGUGAGGGGCAAACGUUGUUCGGUGUCACUGGGCUUAAAGGGUGCGUAGGUGGUUACGUAAGUAACGUGUGAAAUCCCCCGGCUUACCCGGGGAAUUGCGCGUUAUACUGCGUGACUUGAGGACUGUAGGGGAAUGGGGAACUCCAGGUGUAGCGGUGAAAUGCGCAGAUAUCUGGGGGAAGGCCGGCGGCGAAGGCGCCAUUCUGGGCAGUUCCUGACACUGAGGCACGAAAGCGUGGGGAGCAAACAGGAUUAGAUACCCUGGUAGUCC